This 137-nucleotide ribosomal RNA is filed under the name Canis lupus dingo (dingo). Lineage: Eukaryota; Metazoa; Chordata; Mammalia; Carnivora; Canidae. The record is from RNAcentral.
GCCUAUGGUGAUACCACCGUGAACACACCCAUCUCAUCUGAUCUCAGAAGCUAAGCAGAGUAGACUCUGGUUAGUACUUGGAUCAGAGAAAAAAAUGCCUGUCCAACUCUUCUGCCCUGUUAUACCCAAAUAAGGCC